CCUACGGGAGGCAGCAGUGGGGAAUAUUGCACAAUGGGGGAAACACUGAUGCAGCGACGCCGCGUGAGUGAAGAAGUAAUUCGUUAUGUAAAGCUCUAUCAGCAGGGAAGAAAAUGACGGUACCUGAGUAAGAAGCACCGGCUAACUACGUGCCAGCAGCCGCGGUAAUACGUAGGGGGCAAGCGUUAUCCGGAUUUACUGGGUGGAAAGGGAGCGUAGACGGCAGUGCAAGUCUGGAGUGAAAGGCGGGGGCUCAACCCCCGGACUGCUCUGGAAACUGUACGGCUGGAGUGCAGGAGAGGUAAGUGGAAUUCCUAGUGUAGCGGUGAAAUGCGUAGAUAUUAGGAGGAACACCAGUGGCGAAGGCGGCUUACUGGACUGUAACUGACGUUGAGGCUCGAAAGCGUGGGGAGCAAACAGGAUUAGAUACCCUGGUAGUC
This 440-nucleotide ribosomal RNA is filed under the name uncultured bacterium. RNAcentral's name for it is "partial 16S ribosomal RNA". It matches the Rfam family "Bacterial small subunit ribosomal RNA", at positions 338 to 795 of the family's 1533-position model. The record is from RNAcentral.